AAGAUCAUACUUUUAGGGAUCAUUUCUAUAGUGUGCAUCUUGAAAACGUCAUCAAAAUAUGACGAAUCCUCAACUACGAUGAUGAGUUGUAGGGUUUCCUUCUGAGCAUGAAGCUUGGUUUGCUAGAUCACAGAUCUUGCAAACUUUUGAGGAUUGUUCUUGGAUUUCCCUUUGGAAAUUUAGGAGGAAGGAAUCCCCAGCUGAGUAGU
Non-coding RNA from Ciona savignyi (Pacific transparent sea squirt), 209 nucleotides. The record is from Rfam. Lineage: Eukaryota; Metazoa; Chordata; Ascidiacea; Phlebobranchia; Cionidae.